Molecule: ribosomal RNA, 713 nt
Filed under: uncultured Clostridium sp.
Lineage: Bacteria; Bacillati; Bacillota; Clostridia; Eubacteriales; Clostridiaceae
Description: bacterial SSU rRNA
Rfam family: Bacterial small subunit ribosomal RNA
Source: RNAcentral
GAUGAACGCUGGCGGCGUGCCUAACACAUGCAAGUCGAGCGAUCUUCUUCGGAAGGGAGCGGCGGACGGGUGAGUAACGCGUGGGUAACCUGCCCUGUACACACGGAUAACAUACCGAAAGGUAUGCUAAUACGGGAUAACAUAAGAAAGUCGCAUGGAUUUCUUACCAAAGCUUUUGCGGUACAGGAUGGACCCGCGUCUGAUUAGCUAGUUGGUAAGGUAACGGCUUACCAAGGCGACGAUCAGUAGCCGACCUGAGAGGGUGAUCGGCCACAUUGGAACUGAGACACGGUCCAAACUCCUACGGGAGGCAGCAGUGGGGAAUAUUGCACAAUGGGCGAAAGCCUGAUGCAGCAACGCCGCGUGAGCGAUGAAGGCCUUCGGGUCGUAAAGCUCUGUCCUCAAGGAAGAUAAUGACGGUACUUGAGGAGGAAGCCCCGGCUAACUACGUGCCAGCAGCCGCGGUAAUACGUAGGGGGCUAGCGUUAUCCGGAAUUACUGGGCGUAAAGGGUGCGUAGGCGGUCUUUCAAGUCAGAAGUGAAAGGCUACGGCUCAACCGUAGUAAGCUUUUGAAACUGUAAGACUUGAGUGCAGGAGAGGAGAGUGGAAUUCCUAGUGUAGCGGUGAAAUGCGUAGAUAUUAGGAGGAACACCAGUUGCGAAGGCGGCUCUCUGGACUGUAACUGACGCUGAGGCACGAAAGCGUGGGGAGC